Molecule: unclassified non-coding RNA, 206 nt
Filed under: Hevea brasiliensis (rubber tree)
Lineage: Eukaryota; Viridiplantae; Streptophyta; Magnoliopsida; Malpighiales; Euphorbiaceae
Source: RNAcentral
CAAGUUGAUAAAUUAUUCAUGUUCAUCAAUUGCAAUAUUACAUCCUCAACUAUCCAACAAACAAAAACCGAUGGAAAACAUGGUCUUUAACUGAAUUAUUAUUUGAUAAAAAUAAUUUAAGCAUGAAACUUUACACAUGGUUAUAUAUGUAUAGAGUGAUCAUUCUUGCAACACAAAAGAACCCUCUAUUCUUUUCUCCAUCAAUU